This 253-nucleotide ribosomal RNA is filed under the name uncultured bacterium. Its description in RNAcentral is "partial 16S ribosomal RNA". It matches the Rfam family "Bacterial small subunit ribosomal RNA", at positions 524 to 776 of the family's 1533-position model. The record is from RNAcentral.
UACGUAGGGUCCGAGCGUUGUCCGGAAUUAUUGGGCGUAAAGGGCUCGUAGGCGGUUCGUCACGUCGGGAGUGAAAACUCGGAGCUUAACUCCGAGCCUGCUUCCGAUACGGGCAGACUAGAGGUAGGCAGGGGAGAGCGGAACUCCUGGUGUAGCGGUGGAAUGCGUAGAUAUCAGGAGGAACACCGGUGGCGAAGGCGGCUAUCUGGACAGAGUCUGACGCUGAGGCGCGAAAGCUAGGGGAGCAAACAGG